CAGUACACAUUCCCGACAGUGCAGUCCUUUCCCAAAUGCUCGGCUCCGCACCUCGAUACUUAUCAGGCAAAAAUAAGCAAAAUAAGACCGAAUGAUCCCUGUACUUGUUUAAUAUUGACUAGAAGAAGACUUUCUUGUUGUUUGGGGAUGUUUUUCUUCAAAACAGGCAGCAGAAACUUCGCCUGAUCCCGACAACACAGCGAACCUGUUUUGUUUUGUUCGCAGUCACGGGAUCUGCUGCGGUGGCGGAGAGCCAAUAACCCGGCCAGGAAAUCGAAACUACAGCCAUAUAAAUUAUGAGGAAAAGGAAAACUUUAACCGGUAGCUGGAAGAUUUCGGUUUCGUCUAACGAACCCAGUUCUGAUGGAUGUUCAUUUAAACUGCAGGAAGGACACUAUUAAUGGCUGCUUUAGGCUAUAGUGGAGCUAGAAGACGAAGACAAAGGCAGCCAAAUAAAACAAAAUAGCAAAGGCUGUUGAAGACGACGAAGAAUAUAACCCCUCGGUCGAGGUACACAAGUUUAUAAAGGCCUGAAUAGCAGCUGUGUGAUUGGUCUGCUCCUGUUUAUGACCACCGAUGACCCGCCCCCGAUCUUCAACGUCAUCUUUGGAAAAGCACGUGAUUCCCUUUCUCUGGAAAAGAGGAAAACGAGAUGUCUUACUGAUGGAUUGUUGCAGCUGAAAAGCAUUUUAACUGAAAUAAUGUAAUGAACUAUUUAAUUUAUAUUUAUGGACACGUAUAAAGAUAUAGGUGAGGCAAAGACCUUUUUUUUUGUUGCAAUCAAAUCAGCUUUUGGACAAAUUGUGUUCAAAUUGUUCAACCAACAGCAGAACUAAAAAGUCAAAGUUAACCAGCCAAAUGUUUAAUCAAACUACAUACAAAGAUAAGGCGACACAUUAUGUCAUACUUUUGAUUUAUAUCAUCAUUUUGGUUGAUUAUGUCUCAGACAAAGCUGUGUUUUUGAAAGAUGGCAGUGAAAUGUAAAUGUACCACUCAAUAAAGUUUAAAUAUUAUGUGCAA
This is a long non-coding RNA of Eleginops maclovinus (Patagonian blennie), 1020 nucleotides long. RefSeq lists it as uncharacterized. The record is from RefSeq and is a predicted model, not a curated record. The transcript has 2 exons. Lineage: Eukaryota; Metazoa; Chordata; Actinopteri; Perciformes; Eleginopidae.